RNAcentral lists this ribosomal RNA (502 nucleotides) under uncultured bacterium. RNAcentral's name for it is "bacterial SSU rRNA". It matches the Rfam family "Bacterial small subunit ribosomal RNA", at positions 28 to 518 of the family's 1533-position model. The record is from RNAcentral.
GAUGAACGCUAGCGGCAGGCUUAAUACAUGCAAGUCGUGGGGCAGCAGGACGGUAACAAUACCGUUGCUGGCGACCGGCAAACGGGUGCGGAACACGUACACAACCUUCCUUUAAGUGGGGAAUAGCCCGGGGAAACCCGGAUUAAUACCUCGUAACAUAAUGAAGUGGCAUCACUUUAUUAUUAUAGCAGCAAUGCGCUUGAUGAUGGGUGUGCGCCUGAUUAGGUAGUUGGCGGGGUAACGGCCCACCAAGCCUUCGAUCAGUAACUGGUGUGAGAGCACGACCAGUCACACGGGCACUGAGACACGGGCCCGACUCCUACGGGAGGCAGCAGUAAGGAAUAUUGGUCAAUGGACGCAAGUCUGAACCAGCCAUGCCGCGUGGAGGAUGAAGGUCCUCUGGAUUGUAAACUUCUUUUAUCUGGGAAGAAAUCCAUAUUUUCUAAUGUGGUUGACGGUACCAGACGAAUAAGCACCGGCUAACUCCGUGCCAGCAGCCGAC